AGAAUUUCUGCUGCUUUCGUCGCAGCGAGCAUAAUAAUGAGUUUUCUCGCCUCCGCUUUACCACCACUUUCCACACACACCGAGUUUUCCCGGUCGGAAAACGGGGGAUGCGUUGAAUGAAUUGGAUGGGUGGAUUAAGCUGAAGGGAAGAAGGAAUUGGAACAGCAUAAUGCGAAAUAAUGUUGAAAAUUAUAAAGCGAAAUUGCCAGAGAUGCCAGAUAGAAAUACGAACGGCCAAACGGAACAAGCCACAUCCAGUACAUACACACACGAUGCAUAUACAUACUUACAUACAUAUGUACGUACAAUAGCAAACUGGUUGCCAGCGAGGGCACGAAGAUGUGUGGAAUGGAGAAGGGCGAAAUAACGUCGGCAGAGCGAAGCCAUAUGAAACCGAGAGAGCGGCGAAGAGAGAGGGAGCAGAACGAAGCAUAAGGCAAAAGGCGAAAGGCAUGCAAAGCAAAACUCCAAAAUAUAUGUAUGUAUGUGUAGUUGUAUGUGCGAGGGCCGCUGGCGCCUGCGAAGAGUUGUAGAGGGAGAGAGCGCCAGAGCAGAGAGGGAGAGCAGCAACGAAUGCGGGCAGCAAAGCGGAAACGAGCACAAAGCGGAGAGGCCGAUACAUAAGACAC
Drosophila melanogaster (fruit fly) is the source of this 629-nucleotide non-coding RNA. The record is from Ensembl. Lineage: Eukaryota; Metazoa; Arthropoda; Insecta; Diptera; Drosophilidae.